AGAUUAAACAUACUCAUACAUAUAUAAUAAGCGUACACGUACACUAUGGCACCCCGGCUCAGAGAAAACCGGAACGCCCCAUAUUCCAGCCCAGAGAUCGAGGAGAAGUCUUCUGGAAUAGGACAUUGCUUAGCAUAGAACAAACCAGCCUUCUAUUAUUACACGAAUAUGAAUACAAGGUCUCCGAUAUUACAAUGAAUAACAUCGGUACGGCGACACUACGCCAUCCUCAGUUUCUCUAUGCAAGCAGCAGAACAACUCGAAGCAGCGGAAUAACUCUAGCAGCGGAACAACGGCAACGGUGGUGAACUCCACUCCGCAGGGACUCUGGCUGGAACGCUUAUCCUAGCUCGCACGAACGGAAACCACGACAAGCAAGCAAUCAAAUCCGACAUGACCUGCAAACUGGCAUGACACGCCAGGUCAGUACAUUGAAUGUACUUGCAAGCUCACAAUAAACCAGAAGCAUUCAAGGCAGACAACAGCAUGGCAAUUACAGGUUAAACAGGAAUUACCAUGACAUCAUCAGAAUAACAUGGCAUGACCAACAUACACAUGAUACAGCUAUCACAACAUGAACAUAUUAAUCCAACAAUACUAGCAUGCAACAUGAAACCACUAUAUGCACCACUUAUCCUGCUCGGGCUACCUCGUAACCAUCACAUGCAUCACUUACCAACCUCGGACAUCACAUGAUCAUCACAGGUUCAAAUCAAGCUUGGUAUAAACAAUACCGUAGUAAUUAGUAAAUGACCACAAGGAGCUUGACCUUUACCCACGACUCUCGUACAACAUCACGAAUAUAAAACAACUCGGUAUCCUCGAUACCACCGUGAUCCUUACGGCGGUCACAACCACGACCAACACUUAGCCCCAAACCGUGAUCCUUACAGCGAUCACAACCCAACCAAUAACUGGCCCGUGAUCCUUACAGCGAUCACAACCCGACCAAUACAUGGCCCGUGAUCCUUACGGCGAUCACAACCCGACCAAUACAUCGCCCGUGAUCCUUACGGCGAUCACUACCCGACCAAUACAUGGCCCGUGAUCCUUACGACAAUCACAACCUGAUCAGUAAAAUGGCUCAUGAUCCUUACGGCGAUCACAACCCGACCAACACUUGGCCAACUUAUCUCACUGUUAUUAAGCACAUUAUUUUUAUUACUAUUGGCUCAUGGUGUGACCUUCUCUCGACCUGGGCCCUUAUCCACGGGCGCGGCUAUCGAUAGAUUUAAUAUACACUCUACAGAGGUUAGUACACUGUACCCACACUACGGAACCCAUGGCCUCACCCUCCCAUUCGGGUGGACCAACAGCAUUCCGACAAAACCGAUCUAUUGUCAUGACACUCUCCCGGCCCUUCCGACUCAUACCCCACCGGGCUAGUCCUGGGUGGCCCCGUGUCUACCUCCAGACACCUCGACCACCGUCGUGGCCAUGAUCCACACUGGGAUUCGGUGCCAAAAUUAACUUAACAACGGGCUCACAAGGUUAUGCUCCGCCUACCUGAUCAGGGUAGCACGCGCCCAUAACCUUCCCUAAAUUGAGGUACCGACCAAAGGCAUGACAAUAGACCCAGUUAGGACCGGCCCAUACCGUUAAGCAUGGUUGCACUGGUCAGCAUCGAUUCAGCGACACCAUGACUUAGCCAACAGGUGUUCAAGUUCAAUUUAAUCCGGUUAACUUGAAUGCAAAUAUGCUGAGCCAUGAUAAAAUAACAUGAUGCCAACUAUAAUACAUGAAUAUGAUAUCAACAUCACCAUGAGAGUAUCACAUAACUUUCCACCAUAUCAACAAUAACUCAUAUCCACCGAGCAUGGCAUACCGACUAGCAUGAUCAUCUCCAACAUCAACAUGUAAUACUAACCAGCAUAAACAUAUGAAAGAUAAUACUAGCAGGUAUAACAUGAUCACAGAGUAUAAGACAACAUAACAUAACAGUGAACAUGCAAAUCUGAACAUCAUCGGAACAACGAUAACCAUCUUUUCAACAAACAAACAUUUAUUGAAUAUUCAAGUUGAAAACCAUGGCUACUGCAUGACUAUCAUGCAAGUGGGUAUUGUGGCUUGCCUGGGGAUGAAGAAAACACCGGGGAGAAGUGAUGUGAAGCCGCGGAAAGAAUCGCCGGAAAACGUACUCUCUCGGAGGGGGCUGAAUAAGGGCAAGGGCAUAAUGGUCAUUUUCAAAGUGUCAAACCAUAGUGAAAGCAUGACCAAUAGAACGGGCUCGACGAAAUGAAGAAGUGGGCUUUGGAUUCACCUCAUUUGGAGCUACGGAUAAAAAGUUAUUGAGGUUUUACUGCGAGGGACCUAUCUGUAAAAAAUUAUUUUACAGUCUGGGCCAAAACAGAAAAAUGGAAAACGUAUUUCAGGGUUUACGCUUCCACUUACGCUGACAUGGCGGUGGACUGGUCAAAAGGCAGAGGCGGGGCCGGCUCCAGGGUGGCUGACGUGCGGGGCCCGCGGGACCCACGCGCUGGUCAACGCCCUCCUCCCGCUCUCCUUCUUCUUCCCCGACAGGAACAGAGGAGAGGCGAGGCAGGCGCUGGCCCGGCUGGCUCCGGCCAUCUCCGGCCAGGGCAAAGCCACCGGCGGGCGCGGCCCGACGCGACGGUUCCAUCCCCGACCAGAGGGAGGCGCGGGGAGGCAAAAAAUGGCGAAGGGAGGCGGCGGCAGGAGGUGACAAAGGCGGCGGCCAACCUUGGGAACGGCGGCCUGAAGCACUCCGGUGAUGAAUGGAGGGGCUGGGGAGGGUCGCCAGAGCACGGGGAACACUACGGUGGUGGCUAGGAGAGGAGGGGGACUUGGCUUCGGCCGGAUUUGAGCGGACCCGAAUGGCGGCCAUGGCGGCGAUGAGGGGUGCAAAGAGCUCCAGGUGCUCGGGCUAGUGGCUAGGCGGGGUUAGAGGAGAGUGGAGAGGCCAUUGGUGAGCUCGGGAGGGCUCGGGGAAGGGCUUAAAUAGCUGGGCGAGAGGGAUGCCGACCUGGCGCCGUCGGCGACGCGUGUCUGGCGCCGCGGACGCGUGCCCGCGUGCAUGGGCUCGGGGCAAACAACGGCGAGGCACAAGGCAGAGCUUCAUGGGGAAGAGACGGCCAAGAGAGAGGCAGAGGAAAGGGCUGAGCGCCGUUAAAACAUGUCGGAGCACUGUGCUCCCGUGGGCACUCGUCGGCGAGCGUCGGCGAGGGAGAUGCCGGAGGGGGUGAGGGUUCCAUGGUGAAGAGGACGACGAUGCUGAGAUCGUUGACACUCAGGGACAAACCAGAACCGACCGGAGCAACGCCGCUGUUGCCAACAGUGGCUAGACCACCGUUUUGGCUGGCUGUCCUCGUGGUCACCACUAGCAUGACGUGCUCUGGAGGUUUUACUAAGGUUAAAACAUGUCUACUGCGUAGUCCUUCGAAGGGUGGUCUCAACUAUGGUGGUAACUUGGUGAAAGAGUCUCUGGUCAAAAAGAUAUAACCCUCUGAAGUUUACUGCUAUAAAUUUCACCAGCUCAAUGGGAUCAACUGAGAAUUAUGGGAAGCCAAAUAGGUUGUCUAGGGUGUUUAGGAUAGGAAGGACUACAGUACUGGAAGUUGGGAGGGUAAAUGGAUCAAGAUAAAUCAUAGUUGCUUUGCAACUGCCAAACUGGUCCAGAGAAGAAGAUCAGGAUGGUGCACUCACAUGAUGUGUCCACUUGAGCUCCAAUUGGGCAAAUCCUGGUAAUUUGGUCAUAUGAUGAUGCUAUAAAAAGCUCAUGCCAAAUGGCCAAGGAAAAAUGGCACUUGCUUCACAAACAUCUCCUCUGGACAGAAACUUGAAAUAAUUAUGGUGGUCAAAUUGAUCAAUGAAAUGAUACCAAAUUGGGUGGAGAGAAGUUUUAUGGGUAUAAGAAUGACCUGGUAAUUUAUCAGAAUUUUUGAAGCAAUAUAAAAUAUACUUGCUUCACAACCUGAAAAUAUGGUCAGAAACAAAGAUUGGCUCCUGUGCUCACAUAGAUAAUUGGAUGGGGCUGCAAAUGGGUGGAGGGAGUUAAUAUGAGCACAUUAAGGACUGUGCAAAAGUUCAACUCAUUUGGGUACUCCUAGCUAGGACUUCCUUCACAAAGCCUUUUGUUUGAUAGAAACUUUGAAAAUUCACUUAGGAAGAUUGGCUAGGCAAAUAAAUUUUAACUUGUGCAUGGGGCAAUUAUUUGGACAUAUAUACAUGCACAAAAAGGUUGGGAGUCAAUAGGACAAAUAUAAAUGACACUUCCUUCACAAAGUGCCAUUCAGGGCAGAAUAGGAAAUGAAUUAUUGGGGAAUUAUUUUUGAUCAUGGCAGUGAAGAGUUUUGCCAUAUUGGAUCAAGAUAUGACCCAAACAAUUUAUGAGAAUUAUUUGGGAAUUUUAGGAGUGAUGGAGAUGUAGGUUGCUUCACAACCUAGGGAAAUUGGACUCAUUCCUUUAAUAGAAAAGGAAUAUUCUCAAUAAAAAGAAUAUUGGGAUUUGGGCUAGGAUGGAAAUUACAGGGUAUAGGGAAUGAUUUGGGAAUGACAAGCCACUCUGGAAGCAAAGAAGAGGUCAUCUUCUUCGGUUUCCAGACCAUAGAGCCACGGAAAAAGAAAACUCAGGCAAAAACCUCGGAAAAACAAAAGAAAUAGAAAGGGCCAAAAAUCAGGGUGUGACAAACCUUACCCCCUUAAAGAAAUCUCAUCCUCGAGAUUUGGUUGCUCAGGGAACAAGUAUGAAUAUUCUGACUUAAGGAAACCGUUUCCAACUCGGGUAUCCUUUUCCUUUAUUGUUGUUCCCAUUAAAUCUUUAUCCGACUCGCCCUGGGGUGGUUUGCUUUACUCUAUCCACAAUCUGACAGAUCUUACCUGGCUUGUUCAUUCUUAUAUAGGCUCCAAUUUCUUUUUAGAUCUGCUGACUAGCUGAGUGUGAUUUGAUUAUCAUGACUGGAAUAUAUGUCUGUCUCACAAAUCCAAAAGUGAUUUCCGCUGGGUGUGUCAUCCGGCACUGACAACCUUUCAUGUAAUGAUAAUCAGAAUUUUCUAAUGAAAACUCAAGAUCUGACUCAUUACAUUUGGUUCGUCCACUAAAUGCAUGUCCUUUGGGUUCCAACAGGGAGUUAAAACAUAACCGCUUCCUGAAAGAUUCUGACUCAUCGCAGAAGUAUCUGAUUCAUCUUAACCGGUUCCACUGUCAUGAGUAUCGGAUCCGUACCGAAUAUUUGAUUGUCUCCUGUCGCAGCCAACAUAAAGGGUUUGGCCUGUAUGAUAAUAUCUGCGGAUUUGAUAGAAAAAAAUUUGUUCACGACAGGCUAUCCAUGAUGAUUCAUAUAAGUGAGGACUCAGGCUUCCAGACUAUUAUUCCUCAUUUUUCUAACAGGUAACCCAUUAAACGGCAGGUUCAACACCUCCCAAGUUCUGAUCGUUGGGAAAUGAUCAUCCGAAACCGUUGCAAGAAAUCAGCAAAUAAAUCAGUAUCCACCAGAAUGGUAUUUACAACUCAGAUCUGGGACAUUACUGAAAUAACUCAACCACGGCUCAGGAUGAAAAAGCAACUCAGAGAAUGAGACCGGGUCGAUAAGAAGAAGGUGGCAGCUCCCUAAAAUAGCCAAAAAGCAGCUAUAGGGGUACUAUCACAAAAAGAAACUCAACAGUUGUACGAGAUAGCCGAAAAGCAGCUCAGACUCGUGACAAUUGUUGAAGAGAGAAACAAAAAUCGGCAUCCAUCCCGGAUAGCUAGAAACAGCUCAGAUCACAGGCGUGGUGUCAUCAUAGGAGAAAAAGGGGACAAGGGCAUCAUCAGGAUCAUUUUCCAGGUUCAUGGGUACUUGUAUUGAGCUCAUUGAGGUCGUCAAUCCUCAUAAUCCUUUGUCACACUAUGGUGUAUACUGGCUUUAUUUUCGUAACCAUCCUCACGUGGUUGUCCGAUCCUCAUUCGAGUGACUUGUAAAAUCUUGAUGGUAUGCUCAUUGCAUACAUAUAUAUAUGAGGACCUGAUUCCGAGAUAGACGUGAAUUCUGACUGAUUCUUGAUUCUGACCAAAAUGUUGCCGAUCUGAUUCUUGGGAUUCACUGUCAUAUGCUGUCAAUUCACAGCGUACUACCUUGUACCAAUGUCUUACUGAGGAAUAUUUGUUGGUUUGUGCUUGAAACUUUCAUCGGACAACUUGCUGAAGAAGACUGAAUAUCGUGCUUCAGAAGCUUACCCCCUUAAAGACUUUGCUAGGGAAAGACUGAGUACCUUAUGCUGGAAGCUUUUGCGGUCUCUUACUGAAGAAGGCAGAGUACCUUGCGCGGGAAAUCACCCACGUAUCAUACUGCGGAAAAUAGAUGAAUCUUGCCUUGGAAAAUUCUCUGGUAUUUUGCGAGGGAAGAAUGGGUUGCUUUCAUCAGAAGCUUCUCAUUGUGAUAUGCGGGCCGAUUUCCACAUAUAUAACCAUCUGAAUAUUUUUUAUGUUGUUUUCUUGCAUGAAACGGGGGUUUGCAGGACUAUCCUUCUUUCUGAGUAUAUGCCAUAUUUUUGCUUGCUUCCAGGUACAUCGAGUUCCAAAAUCAUCCUCGACGAAAAAUUAAACUUGUAUCUAAGCCAUACCUUUGAUAAUAUUCUGUCAACCUUGCACACCAUUUAUCUUCUUGCUGAUUUAAUCACGUUGUUGUGAUGAGUGCAUGCUAAUGCAAACUUGAUACUGACGGUCCAUCUAGGAUUUCUUUUGUAUCCAGACAAGAUAUUCCCAAUUUCACUGCAGUCAGCUGAUAAUUCCAUUUUGUUUAGCUGAGUUUCCAAAUAUAUGCAUUUCUUUCUGACUCUUUGGGUCCGGUGUCGGCUGACGAGCAACUUUAAUAGGGAAAAAUUAUUAACACCGAAGGCCCAAAGAAAGGAACAAUAGAAACAACUAAAACAAAAGCACACAAGCAUUCUACUAAUAUAAUUAAUCAAGUAAUCAUCACAUAUUACUGCUACUCACACAAUAAUAUGCAUGCACACCUAAGCACACAAAUCUCGGGGAAACUUCGGUAUUGCGAUCUAAUAUGCUAUGACGAUGUGCGUGAGGACGAAUAAAUGUGUGGAAGAAUUGGUGUAAACAGAUCUACACCAAGUGCUAGCUUAGCCAGAUAGCAAUCUGAACUAGCUCGGAGGCGAGGACGUACUCGGUAAUCAUGCAGUAGGACACGAAGGUCGCAACCACAUUAUUAUCAAGCGGACGGAAAAAUACCCGUACUAGUCCAAGAAAUAGGAUGCAGGGAAAAACUGAGACUGCUGACAUUGCCCUUUCUUGAUAACUAAGAUCAUUAAGGGUUGCCAAUAUGACAAAAUAAAAGAAUGAUCUGGGAUAGACGCAUGUCCAUCACCGAAACGAUAGGCGGGAUUGAAGGAAAGACAUCGGUGCGAUACCUGAGCACCAUUUUUGCAAACAGUGUCGGGAUCACUUGGCAUCACUCUGCUGGGACAGAUAUGACACCAAACACCGAAAGAAAAAGGAACUAGAGAAAUGCAAAGGUUGAGCUGUAGUGGAUUCGAACCGAUGCCAGCUAUAGUCACCAGAUAAACCGUUCAUACAAAUACUAAGGCUAUAUGCAUGCUAUGCAACAAACAAAUGCAUCAAUCAAAUGCAACAAACCAACUAGGGUUUAUACUACCGCUUUCUAACGUUCGCGCGGUCUAGGGCGUCCUACAGCCAGACCUGCUCUGAUACCAAGCCUAUGGCACCCCGGCUCAGAGAAAACCGGAACGCCCCGUAUUCCAGCCCAGAGAUCAAGGAGAAGUCUUCUGCAAUAUGGCACAGCUUAGCAUAGAACAAACCAGCCUUCUAUUAUUACACGAAUAUGAAUACAAGGUCUCCGAUAUUAGAAUGAAUAACAUCGGUAUGGAGACACUACGCCAUCCUCAGUUGCUCUAUGCAAGCAGCAGAACAACUUGAAGCAGCGGAAUCACUCUAGCAGCGGAACAACGGCAACGGUGGUGAACUCCACUCCGCAGGGACUCUGGCUGGAACGCUUAUCCUAGCUCGCACGAACGGAAACCACGACAAGCAAGCAAUCAAAUCCGGCAUGACCUGCAAACUGGCAUGACACGCCAGGUCAGUACAUUGAAUGUACUUGCAAGCUCACAAUAAACCAGAAGCAUUCAAGGCAGACAACAGCACAACAAUUACAGGUUAAACAAGAAUUACCAUGACAUCAUCAGAAUAACAUGGCAUGACCAACAUAAACAUGAUACAACUAUCACAACAUGAACAUAUUAAUCCAACAAUACUAGCAUGCAACAUGAAACCACUAUAUGCACCACUUAUCCUGCUCGGGCUACCUCGUAACCAACACAUGCAUCACUUACCAACCUCGGACAUCACACGAUCAUCACAGAUUCAAAUCAAGCUUGGUAUAAACAAUACCGUAGCAAUCAGUAAAUGACCACAAGGAGCUUGACCUUUACCCACGACUCUCGUACAACAUCACGAAUAUACAACAACUCGGUAUCCUCGAUACCACCGUGAUCCUUACGGUGAUCACAACCACGACCAACACUUAGCCCCAAACCGUGAUCCUUAAGGCGAUCACAACCCGACCAAUAACUGGCUCGUGAUCCUUAUGGCGAUCACAAUCCGACCAAUACAUGGCCCAUAAUCCUUACGGCGAUCACUACCCGACCAAUACAUGGCCCAUGAUCCUUACGGCGAUGACAACCCGACCACUAAAUGGCCCGUGAUCCUUACGGCGAUCACAACCCGACCAACACUUGGCCAACUUAUCUCACUGUUAUUAAGCACAUUAUUUUUAUUACUGUUAGCUCAUGGUGUGACCUUCUCUCGACCUGGGCCCUUAUCCACGGGCGCAGCUAUCGAUAGAUUUAAUAUACACUCCGCAAAGGUUAGUACACUGUACCUACACUACGGAACCCAUGGCCUCGCCCUCCCAUUCGGGUGGACCAACG
Molecule: long non-coding RNA, 8895 nt
Filed under: Triticum aestivum (bread wheat)
Lineage: Eukaryota; Viridiplantae; Streptophyta; Magnoliopsida; Poales; Poaceae
Description: long non-coding RNA (TAES_LNC007200)
Source: RNAcentral